UCCUGCUGCCUCACCUUCUACUUUGUUUGA
RNAcentral lists this non-coding RNA (30 nucleotides) under Rattus norvegicus (Norway rat). Lineage: Eukaryota; Metazoa; Chordata; Mammalia; Rodentia; Muridae. The record is from RNAcentral.